Molecule: ribosomal RNA, 274 nt
Filed under: uncultured bacterium
Lineage: Bacteria
Description: partial 16S ribosomal RNA
Rfam family: Bacterial small subunit ribosomal RNA
Source: RNAcentral
AUACGGAGGGUGCAAGCGUUAAUCGGAAUCACUGGGCGUAAAGCGCGCGCAGGCGGUCUUUUAAGUUGGAUGUGAAAGCCUACGGCUCAACCGUAGAACUGCAUCCAAAACUAUUAGACUAGAGUGUGGGAGAGGAAGAUGGAAUUAGUUGUGUAGGGGUAAAAUCCGUAGAGAUAACUAGGAAUACCAAAAGCGAAGGCAAUCUUCUGGAACACUACUGACGCUGAGGCGCGAAAGCGUGGGGAGCAAACAGGAGUAGAUACCCUAGUAGUCC